RNAcentral lists this small RNA (76 nucleotides) under Xanthomonas fragariae. Its description in RNAcentral is "sX9 sRNA". It matches the Rfam family "Xanthomonas sRNA sX9". Lineage: Bacteria; Pseudomonadati; Pseudomonadota; Gammaproteobacteria; Lysobacterales; Lysobacteraceae. The record is from RNAcentral.
AUGUACCAUUCAUACACUGCGGUUCCUACGCGCCGCCCGCACUCACCUGACGACUGCUCGCUACGUUUUGUUGGCC